Molecule: long non-coding RNA, 632 nt
Organism: Planococcus citri (citrus mealybug)
Lineage: Eukaryota; Metazoa; Arthropoda; Insecta; Hemiptera; Pseudococcidae
Exons: 2
Source: RefSeq, a predicted model, not a curated record
UACCUAUACAUAUAAGAUGGAAUGGAAUAAGCUGGGGAAAUAUUUUGUUUUUUUAAUUGUUCUCGAGAAGCUCUCGCAAGAGGUUUGAAAGCUACCUACGUCCUCGAUGGUCGUGAACUAUUAUGACGUUAUUAUAGUAUUGCGAAAAAAAAAGGAAACAAUUUAUAAUAAAGGAAUGGAUUGUUUGAGUAUAAUUAUGCUAUGUUUCUAUGUGAAAAUACAGAGCCUCUGAGAUUUAAUGUACGAGCAGAGAUUUUCAUUCGGUUGUUGGGGUUCCCAUCGGUGAAUUCAAAAUGAAUCGUGUUGUUGAAUUUGUAUUGGUGUUUGGUGUUGUUUUAAAUGUGGUUUUGGCUGCGCCAAUGGAUACUGAGAAUACUUUGGUAGUAUGCGAAUGUCAAACAAAAGACGUUACACCCUUCCUAACCGAAAUUCGAAAGCAGUUGAAGGGCAUGCAAGUCAAGGAGCAAAUUUCCAUCGGAAAUGAAUGCUGUAAAUGUUGCGUUCAACCAGGAAUGUACGCUGAGAUAGUUAUAAAUAAUACCAAGUACCCGCAGUAGCGAUGACUGGUGUUGUAAAAGUACAAAUAACUACGUAAUUUGUUCUGCGAUGAAGUAAAAAUUGUUUUAAUUGAA